This 5889-nucleotide long non-coding RNA is filed under the name Sus scrofa (pig). RNAcentral describes it as "lncRNA (ENSSSCG00030048983.1)". Lineage: Eukaryota; Metazoa; Chordata; Mammalia; Artiodactyla; Suidae. The record is from RNAcentral.
UUUUUUUUUUUGCUUUUUUAGGGCCGCAUGCUCAGCCUAUGGAAGUUCCCCAGCUAGGGUCAAAUUGGAGCUAUAGCUGCCAGCCUAUACCACAGCCACAGCAAUGUGGGAUCUGAGCCACAUCUGUGACCUACACCAUAGCUCACAGCAAUGCCAGAUCCAUAACCCACUGAGCGAGGCCAGGGAUCAAACCUGUAUCCUCAUAAAUCCUAUCGGGUUUGUUAAUCACUGAGCCACGGAGGGAACUCCACACACCUGAUUUUAAAAUGCAGUUCUAAUAACACUAACUUUUAAUGUUCAAUAAUUUUAUAUCAAAAUUUAAGAUAUAUUUAUAUAUUAUCAAUCAUUUAGUAAUAAAAAAAAAUGUUAAGGAUAACUUAAUCCUGAAGAAAAAAACAACAAGACUUAGAGCAUUGUGGUUACAAAGGAAUCAAAAUUUUUAUUUCAAUUAGGGAUAAAAAUUCUAAAGGAAAAUGGAAUAGAAAUAGAACUUCAAAGAGUAAAAGAAAUGAUAGGAAAUGGAAGAAAAGAUUAUUUACCAGUUUUUUAUUUACUUGCUUUUAGUCUAAAUAUAGCAUCUAUUCAGCAUAUAUUCAGAAAGGUAUAAAAAUCUUAAGGGUAGCUCAAUAAAUUUUCACGAAAUGCUUAUGUAAAACAGCACCCAGAUCAAGAAUAUGAAAAUUUCAUUACCAGCACCCCAGAAACUCUGGGGGGUUUUACCCCCAAAGUUAACCAAUAUUCUUGCUCCCAAGAUCCUAGCUAAAAUGUGCUUGUUUUUGAACUUUAUAUAAAUGAAAUCAUACAUUAUGGGCUUUUUUUUUUCUGUUGCCUUUUACUCAACAGUAUAUUUGCGAAGUUCAUCCAUAUUCACAUAUUGUUUAUAUGCAUAUAAUAGGUAUCAAUAUUUAUUUUAAACUUUUUACCAUACACAAGGAAUUACAUAUCUGAAUCUAUUAAACAUUUGAAUAAAAAUUUGAAUGCCUACUCAAAAGUAUGCAAGUUUAGUUAUUUGAUGUCCACGGGCUUCAAUUUUACCACAUGCAAAAUGGGGUUUAAUACUGUUUUCGCCAUUGAGUUGCUGUGAAUUUAUGUGUGGAAAGUGCUCUGUACAGUUGCUGAUAUGUAUUAUAAAUAGCAAUCAUGGUUGUGGUUGUGGUUGCUCCCUUCCAACACACCAUCUCAACUUUAAUAACACCACCUCCAAAUCCCUUCUCCUUACUGACCCCCAAGUGAUACAACUAAAACCUAUAAACAGGUCCUUCCCGUGCUUAAACUAAUUUUGUUCUAGUUUAUCACUUAAAAUAUGUGGCCCAAGCACUCCUGCAUGACUUGCAAUGACAACAUAAACCAGACCCCUGCCUAUUUUCUCUAUAAAUUAAGGUCACCCAUACAUCUUUACCAAACUGUUGGGAAAAAAUAAAUAAAUAACUGGAGGGGAAAAGACAUUUAAAAAGGAAAAUCUUAGUCUAUAUAUGCAAAGCUCUUGGCAUGAAGCAGGUGCCAAGAGCUGCUUAGGUAGGAAGGGAGAAAGGAAAGACUGAUGUGUGUCUGAUAAUUAUGGUGACAGGUCUCUCUUAAAUCUGUUGGUCUCAAUACCCACAUUCUAGCCCCGUUGGAAAAAAUGGCGUAAGUAAAAUAAGUAAGAUACAUGAUUUUAUCCCAUUUUGUAGAUGAGAAAAUUGUGAUCCUAGGAGGUUUAAGUGCUUUUCCCAAGAAUUUACAGGGAAUUAGUGGCAGAACUAGGAUUCUUCUAUGACUGUCAGAUUCUAGAGCUAUGAUUUUUUUUCUCCAUCCCAUUGCCUCUCUGAAAUGGUCUAAUUUUAACGUGGCAUCUCAAAUACACUCCACUUCUAUGGGGAGAUAAUUUUCAAUUUUAGCCUCUCUGAGCCUCAGGGUGUAGCUUGUAAAAUUGAGCUAGUAAUAGUAAUUGCCUUUUAAAUGAGUUAAUACUUGUGAAGUGCCUAGAAUAGCACUCAGCAAGUGUUACCUCUGUUGUUGUUUUAAUUUUAAACUAUCAGUUCAUUGGAUUUCUGAUUUAAAUAGAAAAUCAGUGUGUGAGGCUUUGGGCCAAUAUAGGCCAGAUCUCUCACGGGAGCAUUAUCCCUUAAACAUAAGGUAAACAUCAACAUUCUGAUAUACCCAUGACUCUUUUCCUAAUCAUUACUAUAGGUCUUUAAUAUUCCUGGGAACUCAAGACCCCAAUGAUAGGUGCUAAAUAAAUGCUAGUUCAAAAUUUGUUGUUAAAAUUCCUGCUUUUGGAGUUCCCAUCAUGGAGCAGUGGAAACAAAUCUGACUAGGAACAAUGAGGAUGCAGGUUCAAUCCCUGGCCUCACUCAGUGGGUUAAGGAUCUGGUGCUGCUGUGAGCUGUGGUAUAGUUCGCAGAUUUGGCUUGGAUCUGGUGUUGCUGUGGCUGUGGUGUAGGCCAACAGCUGUAGCUUGGAUAAGAUGCCUAUCCUGGGAACCUCCAUAUGCUGUAGGUGUGGCCCUAAAAAGCCAAAAAAAACAAAACAAAAAAAAAACUGCUUUUAAAUGCUUGCAACAAACCUAUAAAAUUAGGACAUAUAGAAAGAAAGAAAGAGAGAGAGGGAGGAAGGAACCAUAUAUCCCAUGGUAAAAUUUUAUUCUCAUCUAAUAAAACUUGCCAUAGUAACCUAUUUUUAAAAACUCAAUUUUGGGAGUUCCCAUUGUGGCUCAGUGGUUAACCAAUCCGACUAGUAACCAUGAGGUUGCAGGUUCAAUCCUUGGCCUUGCUCAGUGGGUUAAGGAUCCCACGCUGCCGUAAACUGUGGUGUAGGUCGAAGAUGCAGCUCAGAUCCCACGUUGCUGUGGCUGUGGUGUAAGCCGGGGCAACAGCUCCGAUUUGACCCCUAGCCUGGGAACUUCCAUAUGCCACAGCUGCAGCCCUAAAAAAAAACAAAAAAUAAAAAUAAAAAAAUAAAAAGCAAGACAUGUAAUAAUAUUUGGUGCAGUUCAAAUUGUAUUAAAGAAAAAAAAUUUCUCUCCAUACUGUGUAGCUCAAUUAAAAAUAUAUUUUCUAUUUUAAUAGCGAUGAUAAUAUCCAAAAUUCCAUAACAUUCCAUAAUUUAUGAUGUGUUUUUCUAUUUAUUAUUGCCUUUAAUCUGUAUCAUGAAUAUGUGUUUGACCAGGCAUACUGUAAACAUAAAUGUUGUCAUUUAUAUUCAUGGUAAGAUGAAAAUGAAUGGUGCAUUUCAAAGCAUAAUUUAAAUCAUCCUUUAUGUGUAUGAUAUGGAAGAAAAGGACUUGACCAGGUGCAGACACUACUGCAGAAAUUGAGUAUUUAACAUGGCCACAGUGGAUUAGGCCGAGGCUACAGAGUGACUUAAACAUGAUCCCUGCCCUUUGGGAGGACCUAGUCCAUCUGGAAACACACUUACACACAGCUGUAAACAAAAUCCACAUAGUACACAUUCAUGAGGUGACUCAACAAUAUCCAUUCUUCUAUUGGAUUGUGUCUUCUUCUUACUGAUUUAUAGAAAAUCUUUAUUUGGGGACUGAGACUUUUGUCAACUGAAUGUGGCAAAUAUCUUUUCAUACUGUGCAGUUUAUCUGUUCACUUUCUUCAGUAGUGUCUUCUGAUGGUUACAGUUUCUUAGUUUUAAUGUAGUCCAAUUCAUUAACAUUUUCGUUUAAGGUUACUGCUUUUUUUUUCUCUUAUUGAGAAAUCUUUCCCUAUAGAAUGAUCAUGAAGAUCUUUUAUGUUACCAUCUAGAAAUUUUAUUAUUUUAGUAUUUAUAUUUAUCUAUACAAUCCAACUAGGCUUAAUUAUGGCAUAAGACAGGGAUCAAGUUUCAUUUUUUCCCACACGAAUGUCCAGUUUACCUGGCACCAUCUAUUGAAAAAACCAUCUUGGAGUUCCCGUCGUGGCAUUCAUUAUGUAAAUCACCUAUUUUAUAUCAUUACAUAUAUUUUUAAGGAUGAUGAUAGAAUAAUCAUAAUUUUAGUCAAACUGAAAAAUUGGGGGAGAGCAAAGAGAUGAUAUUAAAAAUUAUCCUAGGAAAAGUGAUACAUACCAGACUGAUCCAAGCACAAUGGGACUUAUAAAACAUUAUAAACUAUAUAUUUGAAAUUGAUGCGUUGUAGAAGGGUAUGAAGUAUAUCAAAGUCAUUAAUGCCAAGGUGUUUUCUGAAGUGAUUAUGUGCUAUAUUACAUCUUCACCAAAUCUUGAUAUUACAGUAACUUCAAAUUUUACCAGUAUAAUAAGUGUAAAAUGUACUUCAUUGUGGUUUAAGGUGGCACAUCCUGAUUAUGAAUAAAGUUGCACAUGUUUUCAUAAGUUUAAUGGCCGUUUAUUUUUUCUCUUCUGUGAAAUGUCUGUUAAUGUCUUUUACCUUCUCCAGUAGAUUGUCUUUUCAUAACGGUUUGAGGUUGUCAUGUUCUAGACACUUAUCCUUCACUGGUUAUAUGUGUUGAAAAUAUCUUCUCCCUGUUUGUAACAUGACGUUUCUUCUGUUUGGGGGGUGGGGCGUCUUGUGAUAAACAUGAUUAUAUGUAUUACUUUUUCUUCAUGUUUUAUGAUUUUGAUAUAUUGAGUAGGAAUCCAUUCCUAUUGAGAGAUUCCAUAUUUAUUUCUAAAAGUAUUGAAGUCUUUCUUUUCACACUGAAAUCCUCCAACUGUCUGGAAUUGAUUUUUGCAUAUGGUGAAGGGAGAGCUUUGGGGGAAGGGUGGAAGGCGGCUGCCCCUUACCUAGUGACCAUUCAGAGGUCCUGAUACAUGUCCUCUGAGGGGAGAAGGCACAGUGUCAGAGUCAUAUCUGAGCAAGUGGCAAAGAGCUGCCAUUGUAGUUCCUGCCAGCAGAGCAGCUGGUGCAGUCUCUACUGUGGUCUUGCUUCCUAUACAGGUCUCAAGGUUUGUUGCCUUUUUCACAGUGUGCAGCCUGAACAAACCCAAUUAGGCCAGUAGGCAAGGUAGAUACCCGAUCCAUUCCCACCCAGCAAAUCCUUCAUACUCUGCUUGCUUACAUCUCUAGAUUCAUGUUUUCUCACUUUGGUCUUCAAAGAUUUUCCUUUAUGAUUGAGCCAUGCAUUUGAAAGAAUGCGUUUUACAUUUCAUCCAGUACUUUAAAUAUCCUUCCCUAGGAAUUGUUCUAUGAACACCUAUCCACUCAGCCAUGUUGCCUGCAACAGAAGUCCCUAAUGUGGCUUCAAAAUAUUUUGAAGUGGACCCUAGGCUAAAUGAACAUUAAACCAAAAUUUGUGCUAAUGGUGUCAGCAUGCUAUAAAGAGGCUAAGUGAUGCUCAGAGACAUUAAAUUACUUUGUCAAUGUGUUUGUUUCUGAGAACACUAUUUUUUAUUUUGUUUUUUAUCUCUAUCUUGCUCUUUAAGGGUUGGCAAUAGUAUAGUUCUUUCAAAAAUCUUUGCAAUGCCUUUUCCCUACCUCUGACAAAGUUCAUUUGAGUGAAUAAUCAUUCCCUGAAUUGUUAUCUGGAAUCAUAUGUGAAGAGAAAAAAGAAAAAUUAAAUUUCCUGAUUAUCAGUAACAAACUUCUAAUUACAAGUGGGUAAUAGGCACUAAAGAUUUAGCCAGGAUAAUCAACAAUGAAAUAUUUCCUAGUAACCAUAUCACCGUGAAAAUAUGUAACUCCUAUCUUAUAAAAUUAAAUUUUAGAACACAAUACAGAGUUCCCAUUGUGGCUCAGUGGAAACGAAUUCUACUAGGAACCACGAGGUUACAGGUUCGAUCCCUGGCCUCACUCAGUGGGUUAAAGAUCUGGCAUUGCCAUGAGCUGUGGUGUAGGUCACAGAUGCGGCUCAGAUCUGGCAUUGCUGUGGCUGCAGCUGUGGCAUAGGCCAGCAGCUGUAGCUCCGAUUAGACCCCUAGCCUGGGAACCUCCGUAUGCCACAGGUGCGAUCUUAAAAAAAAAAAAAA